ACGGGCGGCCGUAGCGCGGUGGUCCCACCUGACCCCAUGCCGAACUCAGAAGUGAAACGCCGUAGCGCCGAUGGUAGUGUGGGGUCUCCCCAUGCGAGAGUAGGGAACUGCCAGGC
This 116-nucleotide ribosomal RNA is filed under the name Escherichia sp. E14V7. The record is from RNAcentral. Lineage: Bacteria; Pseudomonadati; Pseudomonadota; Gammaproteobacteria; Enterobacterales; Enterobacteriaceae.